Molecule: ribosomal RNA, 253 nt
Filed under: uncultured bacterium
Lineage: Bacteria
Description: partial 16S ribosomal RNA
Rfam family: Bacterial small subunit ribosomal RNA
Source: RNAcentral
UACGUAGGGUGCAAGCGUUAAUCGGAAUUACUGGGCGUAAAGGGUGCGCAGGCGGUUCUGUAAGUCAGAUGUGAAAUCCCCGGGCUUAACCUGGGAAUUGCGUUUGAAACUACAGAGCUAGAGUGUGGCAGAGGGGGGUGGAAUUCCAUGUGUAGCAGUGAAAUGCGUAGAGAUAUGGAAGAACAUCGAUGGCGAAGGCAGCCCCCUGGGUUAACACUGACGCUCAUGCACGAAAGCGUGGGGAGCAAACAGG